ACCGUUUAGUAGGUUAGAGGGGAAGAGUCGGCCAGCCCGUGCACUGGCUCGGUUGGCGUGGGUGAAGUUUGGGAUCGUUCGGAAAGAGGAGAGGGGCUUCGAAGGUCUUCGCCGCGCGUACCUCAGGAGGCGGAGGCCGCUGCCGAGGAGACGGUGCUGCCGACGACAACGACGCCGUCGUCGCCACCGCAGCAGGAGUAGCCCGGGGAGGUGGAGACGGAGGCGGAAGAGGCGGCCACAGAGCCCACCCCGUUCGCGGUGGGUGAUGGAGCGGUUUGCGCACGAGGUACCGUCGCGGCACGUCGUGCAGCGGGCCCCGGUGAAGGCGAGCCUCGUGGAAACCCUCUAGCAGGAGACGUUCCCUUGAAGUGAACUUAAUCAACACCAACCACUCCUACCACAAAAUGUCAGUUAGACGCUCGUUUCAUGUAAACCCUAACAUUUUCUACAACCACAGAACCUAACCGCGAAAUUUGUGAAGCCAUAGACCGGACUCUAACUUCCCUUUCUUUAAGACCAAGAUGAGAGACUAAGACCUUUCGAAAGAGAAGAAAUGAAGACAACAGUCUACGUAUCCAAAUAAGGUUAACCUUUAUAGCUCAAUAGAUUUGGUCCUUUAUACUCCCUAGUUGACCCUUCUUAAAACCGAUAUCUGGUGCUGAGACGAACCCAACGAUAAUCACGCAUACUCCUACGUAAACGACAACACGCACAACCUUCCUGAGUCGUACAAAUACCAGGUUUAUUUCUAAACUUCUAGAAGGUACAGUAUUAAACUCUUUAUAAAAAUAGGUGGUCUUUAACAUCUCUUCCGUUUUUAGCACGUACGACAUAUAUUCUGGUCACUAUAGGCGCCAUGCCAAACCUCGUACACGAAGUACUCCUGAGCGACGAGCUACCUACUUAUAAUGGGUCAACACCGUUACUAUUAAUUGUCCUUCCCGAGACUACGCUUACUGAACAGUUACAUACGUGAUCGACGGUUGCUACCACCAUAGGUCAUGGAUAGACCAAUGAGUCUUGGGCCUGGAAACCGCGAACUCUAGCGACUUUAAGGAGUCGACCUACCGAAACCUGAAGAUAAAGCACGACCACUAUAAGAUUAACACCUAGAAUCCCUGGGUUUCCUGUAGACGACAUGGUAAUCUUAUUCGUACUGUCCGUCAGACCAACCUCUUGUUUAGUCACAACUUCUAAGUACAGCUCCUAAUCUACAACUACUGCUACAACGACGAACACGAAACGAUCUUGACUCUCUAAGACCUUUAUUGUAUUACUACCUGCUGUCAAUGUACCGAUAACUACCACGACUAUUGGGUCCUUCGUACUUUAGUUCCCAAUAAACGAGUACCUCGACCCUCGGCCUACGGUACGCUCCUGUUGGCUCCGACUAGAAAACGAACCUACUACCUCUUAAAGUAUAAGACCUUAAAUUAACCCUAUGUCUUCCUAACUUCCAUAACGGACUCGCACAGGUAUCCCCAAACGGAACAUUUGGAGAAAAUACCUACCUGUCUCCUUACUAUCGUCCCAAACAUCUCUACCCUCUACCUUACUAGGAAGUAGAACUUGUACCAUCUGACCACGUAUCUUCAUGUCAAGUCUUACAUCCUGGUUAUAACCUAAAUCGUUAACGACUGAUGGUACCACUCUUCGUCCUAGUCAACAAAAGUACAACACCUUACACGGGACUCCCUAGUAACGCACAAUAUUCCUUACCACAGUUACACCUCUUUGAAGACUCCUGACUUGGAUAAAUAGUCCCACAAUGACCAAACACCUGUAACUCUUACUUCUUUUGACUAUGUAUAGUGAGAAAAGAACAUAACCGUAAACAACUCCUUUGUUCUUAUGAUAGUCAACCUGACUCAAAAUUACUGUAGUCACUACGACACCCUAAAGUCUGACUCCAAACGUGAAACCGUACACCAAAUUAUCGACUACCAAAUGAACACGUUUAAGUGUCGUUUCCGCAUUUCGAAACAAACGGAUGUAGUAUACGAGUGGGACUCCCACGGUGGAAUUGAAGAGGUCAAACACAACUGACCAUAGGACUACAGUGAUAGUCACAACCACGACAACCUGUACUACAACAACGACAACGAUGUAGUUUAGGAACAACGGAUAUAUAAGAGUCCCAGUCUGGUAAUAGAAGUGAGGUCAUGCUCAACAUACUCUGUGUCGUACAGGUUAACGUUAUACUUCAUAGAACGUAUAGGUAAGGCCUCCUCCUGAACUCUGAAUCUUGCAGUAGAAGACGAAAACCACCACUAAAAUCCUUCUCUUUUCCCUUAUUAAGACGACGACUUCAACUACAAGCGUACAAACGACAGUAACCUUGAGUAUUUGGAAGACACCUUCAGUAGAGUAACCUUGGACUACUUCGUAAAUCCGACGAGAGAUAACCCAGAUAUAGUCACUUGUUACGCGAGCCACGAGGUCAAUCACCGACAUAUGGGCUUUUACAAGCAAAACAUCGUAGACUCUCCAAGAUGUAAGAGCGUCCAGAUUCUUUACCGUACGAUGAGUCCAAACUCAGUCCUUGUUCGUUUCUGGUCAUAGAGGGACCAAGGAAAAUGUUCCUCAGAAAACGUGGAAGAGAAUUACGAGAGGAAGUCAACCAACGAUAUUCCGUGUAACCUUAAUGGGGACAUCCGAACCAUGGUAACGUACUAAGUCGAUUAAGACUAUAAUAACAAGAGUCGCUAUCCAGAACCGAUAAUAUACGAUCAUCUGUGUCGAACCGUAUAAGUAGGUAGAGUAAAGACGGACGCAGGGUACACUGAGGUCAUAGAAGACACCUAACGGGGUCGCCGGACGAUAAACAACGUCUCUUGACAAAUGUAAACCAACUUUACCAAGUACCGUUUUCUAAUUUACGUGUUUUCAAAAGUCAACCUCCCUGAGGUUCCUUUCACGAUAUGGUGUCGCUAUCAUCUUGUGACAACCAAUACUCUUGACCAAAUUGACCACGUAGUACAAGAAGUCUAUAACAGGUUUAUCUAGGAUUAUUACCCUAGAACGAAAGGGCUAAGUUCACACUUGAACCACUUUGACGUUUUACGUAGGUCUAACGCUUUUAUCCUUCACUCGUUCACAAUUAACAACCCUGUUCAUUUAGAUGACUGGCCGGUUACUACGGUUUACCGCUUCGUCUUUCAUAGUUUCCUGCGGAUUAACAAGAUUCAAACCUAUGAGAACCUUCAGGAGUACUCACGUCAAGUAAAUAAGGCUGAAGAUUAAACUCAAGGAGAAGAGUAUGCCCGAGUAAGGGACUUUAACAACCUAUACGUUUACUUCUAAAGAGAUCGUUGUCGUACACGUCGUCAGGACUACUAUAAACGAUGUUAGUCUAAGUUAAACUUGUUUAUCGUCCUGUGGACUCUAGUGACUGAGUACAAUGGAAGUGACCACGUCAAGAACGACAUAUAGGUAUAGAUCUAGCUAUACACAACCGUCGUCGACCAUUAUGCCAUACUAUAGUCAAUAAAGAAACCGAGAUGAAAAACUAUUUAGUGAACCUUUAACCGAGUUGCUGUCUCGUUACUCGUUCUGAUCUUUUCAUUGUAACGUUUCCUCGAGCCAAAACACUGUCGGUAUUGUGAGCAAGACGUUUCCUCGAGCCAAAACACUGUCGGUAUUGUGAGCAAGACGUUUCCUCGAGUCGGAAUCCCGUCACAGUAAAAAUUAAAAAGACAUCCCUAUAAGGUACCCUCUCAAUUAUAAGGGGUUGUUUUGUCAAAAACACUAUUGUCGACCGUUAGUUUGAGGAUAGACAACAAUAAAGUAUAUGAUGAUUCGAUUUAAAGAGUUUGAACCAAAAUUAGACUGAUGGUAGUUAACACCUCUUAGUAAGACUGUGAGAAGGGUAAAAGAGAGAUAAAACUAUCGAAAGACAUAAACCAAAACACUUACUUUUAGGAGUAGCAUACUUCUUCAUACGACACUCAUCUUGUGCUAAAUGAUAAUGAACAAACUUCUGUAUACGUAGUGUCUAACGUCGCCCGCUAACAGCACUACCACAAGAGAAGAUAAGAAUAGUGCUCUUAGAAUCCUUCAACCUUGAACAAAUACGACUAGGACGAGUUGCUAACCACCCACUACAACAGGACAAUCUGACACUUUGACGACAACACAGUCUAGCAGCACCAUCGUAUAGACAUAAUAGGACGGGACCUGACCUUCAAAGACUUUCAGGUCUUUUCUUGAAUCGACAUGUUACAAGUAAAAAAUACCCGCUUUAUCGAUACUCGUAGGUCUUCCGACGUAAAUUCAUAGCCGAGGGAUAACCACUACUCUGUCUGGGUCACAACCUUAGUCGAAUGUUGACGCAACACCGCUCAUGAAACGACCCCUCACAGAAACAAUACUAAGGAGAGUGGUCACUCCUCGUAGUUGACAACGUUCUACAGGUUCUUUCUGAAAGUGAAGUGGGCAACUGACGAGGUUAGAACCCUUUACUGGUACGUCUCAAAGCAGCUGCACCAUAGGGCAGCCCUCACGGAAGUUAAGACCUACCACUGUACGACCACGUUAAGAAUCUCGAGUGGUCACUCGUUGUCGUUUGACAAGAACUACUACCCAGAAGUCAUUUCCGUGGUGUGUCCAGAUAGGGGCAAAAGGUCCAGUACGCUUACAACCUCGCCCAGGUGAUACGCGACUUGACUCCAAAAGACGUUGGUUGAACCAAGUGAGUAUGGUGACCUGUAUGGCAAAAGGUAAGACGACUGUUUAGCUGUUCACGCAACCAUGACGUCUAUUAUGGGACGGCACUGGACGUCUUUUAUGGCGGCCUGGUUCCAUCAUGUGUAAACCACGACUCCACUACAAUCGCACAUUGUCAGUUAUGGGACGGCACUGGACGCAGAGGGAUAAAUAUUAUGACGUAUCUGCAACAUUUCAUGGCUUCAGAAACAUGUAUUUUAAACUGUUGUCUUGUAGGAGUCUUAACUGCUUGCAACUCUGUAGGACUUAUCUUCACAAGAAUUCGUUGGCCUUCUCGAGACGGAAGAGUAAAACAACUUUCUUAGCCGG
Molecule: ribosomal RNA, 5034 nt
Filed under: Triticum aestivum (bread wheat)
Lineage: Eukaryota; Viridiplantae; Streptophyta; Magnoliopsida; Poales; Poaceae
Description: partial small subunit ribosomal RNA
Source: RNAcentral